Molecule: ribosomal RNA, 3826 nt
Filed under: Klebsiella oxytoca
Lineage: Bacteria; Pseudomonadati; Pseudomonadota; Gammaproteobacteria; Enterobacterales; Enterobacteriaceae
Also listed under: 1 other name
Description: bacterial LSU rRNA
Rfam family: Bacterial large subunit ribosomal RNA
Source: RNAcentral
UUAAGCGACUAAGCGUACACGGUGGAUGCCCUGGCAGUCAGAGGCGAUGAAGGACGUGCUAAUCUGCGAAAAGCGUCGGUAAGGUGAUAUGAACCGUUAUAGCCGGCGAUGUCCGAAUGGGGAAACCCAGUGCAAUUCGUUGCACUAUCGUUUGCUGAAUACAUAGUUUAACGAGGCGAACCGGGGGAACUGAAACAUCUAAGUACCCCGAGGAAAAGAAAUCAACCGAGAUUCCCCCAGUAGCGGCGAGCGAACGGGGAGCAGCCCGGAGUCUGAAUCAGCUUGUGUGUUAGUGGAAGCGUCUGGAAAGUCGCAGGGUACAGGGUGAUACUCCCGUACACUAAAACGCACAGGUUGUGAACUCGAAGAGUAGGGCGGGACACGUGGUAUCCUGUCUGAAUAUGGGGGGACCAUCCUCCAAGGCUAAAUACUCCUGACUGACCGAUAGUGAACCAGUACCGUGAGGGAAAGGCGAAAAGAACCCCGGCGAGGGGAGUGAAAAAGAACCUGAAACCGUGUACGUACAAGCAGUAGGAGCCCACUAGUUGGGUGACUGCGUACCUUUUGUAUAAUGGGUCAGCGACUUAUAUUCUGUAGCAAGGUUAACCGUAUAGGGGAGCCGCAGGGAAACCGAGUCUUAACUGGGCGUUAAGUUGCAGGGUAUAGACCCGAAACCCGGUGAUCUAGCCAUGGGCAGGUUGAAGGUUGGGUAACACUAACUGGAGGACCGAACCGACUAAUGUUGAAAAAUUAGCGGAUGACUUGUGGCUGGGGGUGAAAGGCCAAUCAAACCGGGAGAUAGCUGGUUCUCCCCGAAAGCUAUUUAGGUAGCGCCUCGUGAAUUCAUCUUCGGGGGUAGAGCACUGUUUCGGCUAGGGGGUCAUCCCGACUUACCAACCCGAUGCAAACUACGAAUACCGAAGAAUGUUAUCACGGGAGACACACGGCGGGUGCUAACGUCCGUCGUGAAGAGGGAAACAACCCAGACCGCCAGCUAAGGUCCCAAAGUCAUGGUUAAGUGGGAAACGAUGUGGGAAGGCCCAGACAGCCAGGAUGUUGGCUUAGAAGCAGCCAUCAUUUAAAGAAAGCGUAAUAGCUCACUGGUCGAGUCGGCCUGCGCGGAAGAUGUAACGGGGCUAAACCAUGCACCGAAGCUGCGGCAGCGACACUAUGUGUUGUUGGGUAGGGGAGCGUUCUGUAAGCCGUUGAAGGUGGCCUGUGAGGGUUGCUGGAGGUAUCAGAAGUGCGAAUGCUGACAUAAGUAACGAUAAUGCGGGUGAAAAACCCGCACGCCGGAAGACCAAGGGUUCCUGUCCAACGUUAAUCGGGGCAGGGUGAGUCGACCCCUAAGGCGAGGCCGAAAGGCGUAGUCGAUGGGAAACAGGUUAAUAUUCCUGUACUCGGUGUUACUGCGAAGGGGGGACGGAGAAGGCUAUGUUGGCCGGGCGACGGUUGUCCCGGUUUAAGCNGGGUGACUGCGUACCUUUUGUAUAAUGGGUCAGCGACUUAUAUUCUGUAGCAAGGUUAACCGUAUAGGGGAGCCGCAGGGAAACCGAGUCUUAACUGGGCGUUAAGUUGCAGGGUAUAGACCCGAAACCCGGUGAUCUAGCCAUGGGCAGGUUGAAGGUUGGGUAACACUAACUGGAGGACCGAACCGACUAAUGUUGAAAAAUUAGCGGAUGACUUGUGGCUGGGGGUGAAAGGCCAAUCAAACCGGGAGAUAGCUGGUUCUCCCCGAAAGCUAUUUAGGUAGCGCCUCGUGAAUUCAUCUUCGGGGGUAGAGCACUGUUUCGGCUAGGGGGUCAUCCCGACUUACCAACCCGAUGCAAACUACGAAUACCGAAGAAUGUUAUCACGGGAGACACACGGCGGGUGCUAACGUCCGUCGUGAAGAGGGAAACAACCCAGACCGCCAGCUAAGGUCCCAAAGUCAUGGUUAAGUGGGAAACGAUGUGGGAAGGCCCAGACAGCCAGGAUGUUGGCUUAGAAGCAGCCAUCAUUUAAAGAAAGCGUAAUAGCUCACUGGUCGAGUCGGCCUGCGCGGAAGAUGUAACGGGGCUAAACCAUGCACCGAAGCUGCGGCAGCGACACUAUGUGUUGUUGGGUAGGGGAGCGUUCUGUAAGCCGUUGAAGGUGGCCUGUGAGGGUUGCUGGAGGUAUCAGAAGUGCGAAUGCUGACAUAAGUAACGAUAAUGCGGGUGAAAAACCCGCACGCCGGAAGACCAAGGGUUCCUGUCCAACGUUAAUCGGGGCAGGGUGAGUCGACCCCUAAGGCGAGGCCGAAAGGCGUAGUCGAUGGGAAACAGGUUAAUAUUCCUGUACUCGGUGUUACUGCGAAGGGGGGACGGAGAAGGCUAUGUUGGCCGGGCGACGGUUGUCCCGGUUUAAGCAUGUAGGCGGAUGUUCCAGGUAAAUCCGGAACGUUACUAACGCUGAGGUGUGAUGACGAGGCACUACGGUGCUGAAGUGACAAAUGCCCUGCUUCCAGGAAAAGCCUCUAAGCAUCAGGUAACAUCAAAUCGUACCCCAAACCGACACAGGUGGUCAGGUAGAGAAUACCAAGGCGCUUGAGAGAACUCGGGUGAAGGAACUAGGCAAAAUGGUGCCGUAACUUCGGGAGAAGGCACGCUGAUGGUAAGUGAAGCGACUUGCUCGUGGAGCUGAAAUCAGUCGAAGAUACCAGCUGGCUGCAACUGUUUAUUAAAAACACAGCACUGUGCAAACACGAAAGUGGACGUAUACGGUGUGACGCCUGCCCGGUGCCGGAAGGUUAAUUGAUGGGGUUAUCCGUAAGGAGAAGCUCUUGAUCGAAGCCCCGGUAAACGGCGGCCGUAACUAUAACGGUCCUAAGGUAGCGAAAUUCCUUGUCGGGUAAGUUCCGACCUGCACGAAUGGCGUAAUGAUGGCCAGGCUGUCUCCACCCGAGACUCAGUGAAAUUGAACUCGCUGUGAAGAUGCAGUGUACCCGCGGCAAGACGGAAAGACCCCGUGAACCUUUACUAUAGCUUGACACUGAACACUGGUCCUUGAUGUGUAGGAUAGGUGGGAGGCUUUGAAGUGUGGACGCCAGUCUGCAUGGAGCCAUCCUUGAAAUACCACCCUUUAAUGGCUGGUGUUCUAACGUGGGCCCCUAAUCGGGGUUGCGGACAGUGUCUGGUGGGUAGUUUGACUGGGGCGGUCUCCUCCUAAAGAGUAACGGAGGAGCACGAAGGUCAGCUAAUCCUGGUCGGACAUCAGGAGGUUAGUGCAAUGGCAUAAGCUGGCUUGACUGCGAGCGUGACGGCGCGAGCAGGUGCGAAAGCAGGUCAUAGUGAUCCGGUGGUUCUGAAUGGAAGGGCCAUCGCUCAACGGAUAAAAGGUACUCCGGGGAUAACAGGCUGAUACCGCCCAAGAGUUCAUAUCGACGGCGGUGUUUGGCACCUCGAUGUCGGCUCAUCACAUCCUGGGGCUGAAGUAGGUCCCAAGGGUAUGGCUGUUCGCCAUUUAAAGUGGUACGCGAGCUGGGUUUAGAACGUCGUGAGACAGUUCGGUCCCUAUCUGCCGUGGGCGCUGGAGAAUUGAGGGGGGCUGCUCCUAGUACGAGAGGACCGGAGUGGACGCAUCACUGGUGUUCGGGUUGUCAUGCCAAUGGCAUUGCCCGGUAGCUAAAUGCGGAAGAGAUAAGUGCUGAAAGCAUCUAAGCACGAAACUUGCCCCGAGAUGAGUUCUCCCUGACUCCUUGAGAGUCCUGAAGGAACGUUGAAGACGACGACGUUGAUAGGCCGGGUGUGUAAGCGCAGCGAUGCGUUGAGCUAACCGGUACUAAUGAACCGUGAGGCUUAACCUU